RNAcentral lists this ribosomal RNA (253 nucleotides) under uncultured bacterium. Its description in RNAcentral is "partial 16S ribosomal RNA". It matches the Rfam family "Bacterial small subunit ribosomal RNA", at positions 524 to 776 of the family's 1533-position model. The record is from RNAcentral.
UACGUAGGUGGCAAGCGUUGUCCGGAAUUAUUGGGCGUAAAGCGCGCGCAGGCGGUCCUUUAAGUCUGAUGUGAAAGCCUACGGCUCAACCGUGGAGGGUCAUUGGAAACUGGGGGACUUGAGUACAGAAGAGAAGAGUGGAAUUCCACGUGUAGCGGUGAAAUGCGUAGAGAUGUGGAGGAACACCAGUGGCGAAGGCGACUCUUUGGUCUGUAACUGACGCUGAGGCGCGAAAGCGUGGGGAGCAAACAGG